CCUACGGGAGGCAGCAGUUGGGAAUCUUGGACAAUGGGGGAAACCCUGAUCCAGCCAUGCCGCGUGAGUGAUGAAGGCCUUCGGGUUGUAAAACUCUUUCGACGGGGACGAUAAUGACGGUACCCGUAGAAGAAGCUCCGGCUAACUUCGUGCCAGCAGCCGCGGUAAUACGAAGGGGGCUAGCGUUGUUCGGAAUUACUGGGCGUAAAGCGCGCGCAGGCGGUCUUCCAAGUCAGUGGUGAAAGCCCGGAGCUCAACUCCGGAACUGCCAUUGAAACUGUGAGACUUGAGGACGAGAGAGGUGAGUGGAAUUCCCAGUGUAGAGGUGAAAUUCGUAGAUAUUGGGAAGAACACCGGUGGCGAAGGCGGCUCACUGGCUCGUAUCUGACGCUCAGGCGCGACAGCGUGGGGAUCAAACAGGAUUAGAUACCCUGGUAGUCCACGCCGUAAACGAUGAAUGCUAGCCGUUGGGUAGCUUGCUAUUCAGUGGCGCAGCUAACGCAUUAAGCAUUCCGCCUGGGGAGUACGGCCGCAAGGUUGAAACUCAAAUGAAUUGACGG
This 560-nucleotide ribosomal RNA is filed under the name uncultured bacterium. Its description in RNAcentral is "bacterial SSU rRNA". It matches the Rfam family "Bacterial small subunit ribosomal RNA", at positions 338 to 916 of the family's 1533-position model. The record is from RNAcentral.